RNAcentral lists this ribosomal RNA (1776 nucleotides) under Escherichia coli 2-156-04_S4_C2. RNAcentral describes it as "bacterial LSU rRNA". It matches the Rfam family "Bacterial large subunit ribosomal RNA", at positions 1 to 1805 of the family's 2925-position model. The record is from RNAcentral. Lineage: Bacteria; Pseudomonadati; Pseudomonadota; Gammaproteobacteria; Enterobacterales; Enterobacteriaceae.
UUAAGCGACUAAGCGUACACGGUGGAUGCCCUGGCAGUCAGAGGCGAUGAAGGACGUGCUAAUCUGCGAUAAGCGUCGGUAAGGUGAUAUGAACCGUUAUAACCGGCGAUUUCCGAAUGGGGAAACCCAGUGUGAUUCGUCACACUAUCAUUAACUGAAUCCAUAGGUUAAUGAGGCGAACCGGGGGAACUGAAACAUCUAAGUACCCCGAGGAAAAGAAAUCAACCGAGAUUCCCCCAGUAGCGGCGAGCGAACGGGGAGCAGCCCAGAGCCUGAAUCAGCAUGUGUGUUAGUGGAAGCGUCUGGAAAGGCGCGCGAUACAGGGUGACAGCCCCGUACACAAAAAUGCACAUACUGUGAGCUCGAUGAGUAGGGCGGGACACGUGGUAUCCUGUCUGAAUAUGGGGGGACCAUCCUCCAAGGCUAAAUACUCCUGACUGACCGAUAGUGAACCAGUACCGUGAGGGAAAGGCGAAAAGAACCCCGGCGAGGGGAGUGAAAAAGAACCUGAAACCGUGUACGUACAAGCAGUGGGAGCACGCUUAGGCGUGUGACUGCGUACCUUUUGUAUAAUGGGUCAGCGACUUAUAUUCUGUAGCAAGGUUAACCGAAUAGGGGAGCCGAAGGGAAACCGAGUCUUAACUGGGCGUUAAGUUGCAGGGUAUAGACCCGAAACCCGGUGAUCUAGCCAUGGGCAGGUUGAAGGUUGGGUAACACUAACUGGAGGACCGAACCGACUAAUGUUGAAAAAUUAGCGGAUGACUUGUGGCUGGGGGUGAAAGGCCAAUCAAACCGGGAGAUAGCUGGUUCUCCCCGAAAGCUAUUUAGGUAGCGCCUCGUGAAUUCAUCUCCGGGGGUAGAGCACUGUUUCGGCAAGGGGGUCAUCCCGACUUACCAACCCGAUGCAAACUGCGAAUACCGGAGAAUGUUAUCACGGGAGACACACGGCGGGUGCUAACGUCCGUCGUGAAGAGGGAAACAACCCAGACCGCCAGCUAAGGUCCCAAAGUCAUGGUUAAGUGGGAAACGAUGUGGGAAGGCCCAGACAGCCAGGAUGUUGGCUUAGAAGCAGCCAUCAUUUAAAGAAAGCGUAAUAGCUCACUGGUCGAGUCGGCCUGCGCGGAAGAUGUAACGGGGCUAAACCAUGCACCGAAGCUGCGGCAGCGACACUAUGUGUUGUUGGGUAGGGGAGCGUUCUGUAAGCCUGUGAAGGUGUACUGUGAGGUAUGCUGGAGGUAUCAGAAGUGCGAAUGCUGACAUAAGUAACGAUAAAGCGGGUGAAAAGCCCGCUCGCCGGAAGACCAAGGGUUCCUGUCCAACGUUAAUCGGGGCAGGGUGAGUCGACCCCUAAGGCGAGGCCGAAAGGCGUAGUCGAUGGGAAACAGGUUAAUAUUCCUGUACUUGGUGUUACUGCGAAGGGGGGACGGAGAAGGCUAUGUUGGCCGGGCGACGGUUGUCCCGGUUUAAGCGUGUAGGCUGGUUUUCCAGGCAAAUCCGGAAAAUCAAGGCUGAGGCGUGAUGACGAGGCACUACGGUGCUGAAGCAACAAAUGCCCUGCUUCCAGGAAAAGCCUCUAAGCAUCAGGUAACAUCAAAUCGUACCCCAAACCGACACAGGUGGUCAGGUAGAGAAUACCAAGGCGCUUGAGAGAACUCGGGUGAAGGAACUAGGCAAAAUGGUGCCGUAACUUCGGGAGAAGGCACGCUGAUAUGUAGGUGAAGUCCCUUGCGGAUGGAGCUGAAAUCAGUCGAAGAUACCAGCUGGCUGCAACUGUUU